This 362-nucleotide unclassified non-coding RNA is filed under the name uncultured Phialophora. Its description in RNAcentral is "sequence contains ITS2". The stretch from base 1 to 154 matches the Rfam family "5.8S ribosomal RNA". The record is from RNAcentral. Lineage: Eukaryota; Fungi; Ascomycota; Leotiomycetes.
AACUUUUGACAAUGGAUCUCUUGGUGCUGGCAUCGAUGAAGAACGCAGCGAAAUGCGAUAAGUAAUGUGAAUUGCAGAAUUCAGUGAAUCAUCGAAUCUUUGAACGCACAUUGCGCCCGCUGGUAUUCCGGCGGGCAUGCCUGUUCGAGCGUCAUUAUGACCAAUCAAGCUCUGCUUGGCCUUGGGGCCCGCUGUACCGGCGACCCUUAAAAUCAGUGGCGGUGCCGUCUGGCUCUAAGCGUAGUAAUACUUCUCGCUAUAGGGUCCAGUCGUCCACCCGCCAGAACCCCCAACUUUCUUAGGUUGACCUCGGAUCAGGUAGGGAUACCCGCUGAACUUAAGCAUAUCAAUAAGCGGAGGCU